GAGUUUGAUCGUGGCUCAGGAUGAACGCUGGCGGCGUGCUUAACACAUGCAAGUCGAACGAAGCGCCUUAUUUGAUUUUCUUCGGAACUGAAGAUUUGGUGACUGAGUGGCGGACGGGUGAGUAACGCGCGGGUAACCUGCCCUGUACAGGGGGAUAACAAUCAGAAAUGACUGCUAAUACCGCAUAAGACCACAGCACCGCAUGGUGCAGGGGUAAAAACUCCGGUGGUACAGGAUGGACCCGCGUCUGAUUAGCUGGUUGGUGAGGUAACGGCUCACCAAGGCGACGAUCAGUAGCCGGCUUGAGAGAGUGAACGGCCACAUUGGGACUGAGACACGGCCCAAACUCCUACGGGAGGCAGCAGUGGGGAAUAUUGCACAAUGGGGGAAACCCUGAUGCAGCAACGCCGCGUGAGUGAAGAAGUAUUUCGGUAUGUAAAGCUCUAUCAGCAGGGAAGAAAGUGACGGUACCUGACUAAGAAGCCCCGGCUAACUACGUGCCAGCCGCCG
RNAcentral lists this ribosomal RNA (510 nucleotides) under uncultured microorganism. RNAcentral describes it as "bacterial SSU rRNA". It matches the Rfam family "Bacterial small subunit ribosomal RNA", at positions 9 to 517 of the family's 1533-position model. The record is from RNAcentral.